Molecule: long non-coding RNA, 1120 nt
Filed under: Gallus gallus (chicken)
Lineage: Eukaryota; Metazoa; Chordata; Aves; Galliformes; Phasianidae
Source: RNAcentral
CAAGGAUUUAUUGCAGCCGGGGGCGGCGGGGCGCUGCAUCCCCCAGCCCAGGCUGUGCGCCCAGGCAGUCCCCGCUGCCCCCACCGGGGGGUUGGGGACAGGUGGGGACCCCGGGCAGGGCGCAGCGUGGAUGCAGCGCCGAGGGCACAGCCGCCCGGGGCCGGGCUGGGGUGGGGAGGGGCCGUGCACCCGCAGAAGCAAAAACCAGAAAUAUCCUCAACCACCAAAAAUAAUAAUUAUGUCACCCAACGAGCUCUGUCUAUUCCUGAAAAACAACGGAGCCGUCGCCAGCGCGAGGCGAGGCGAGGAGAAGGGUCCCAGCGCCGGGUUGCCUUGGUGACGGGGAUGGAACGCCGCAUCCGUGCUGCGCCGAUGCCGGGGGUGGGUGCCGGGGGUCCCACGCCGGGUUUGGGGUCCUCCCCUCCCCACACUGCCGCUCAGCCGCUUUUCGCCGGGGUCAAAACUGCACGGCGCCGGGGGAGAUGUUGAACAUGGAAGGGUCGAACUUCUGGCCACGGAACGGGGAGCCCUCGGUGUCCCAGCCCUUCUUCAGCAUCUCGUGCACCUUCAGCUCGUGGCUCUGCGGUUUGCCCUGCAGCUUCUGGUGGUAGUCGAAGGUGAGGCGGUCAAGCACAGCGUGCUCCUCCUCGUCCACCGUGGCCAUGGAGCGCUCCUUGUUGAUCUUGUCGAUGUCGAUCUGCUCCUCGCCCUCCAGGACGGCGUUCCACCAGUACUCGUCCCCCUUGUUCAGGUUGAUCAAAACACACUUCCCUGGCUCCAGGCUCCAGAGGGAACUCUCCGUGUUGAUCUUGUGUGUGAGCUUCCCCUCCAUGAGCACGCGCUGGCUGCUCCCCUCCAGCACCGCCACGCGAAUUGUGCUGCUGCUGAUAUCCACAGACACCUGUUUGCCUUUCACAAUGUGCUUGGGCACGGGCACUUUAAUCUCCAGGUCGCUGUAGUCUUGGGACCAGGCGUAGUUCUCCCGCACUGCCCCGUUGUAGCUGUCGGGGUUCGUCUGGAACUGCUCCUGUCCCGUGGGCAGCUCGGCAGGUGAAGGCUGCGCAGGGGCAGCUGCCCCUGGGGGCUCUGCUGGCACGGGGCUGGCUGCUGCCAGGGUUGC